CCUUUCGUGGUGUAGUGGUCAGCACGUUUGACGCAAAACCGAGAGGUCCAUGGUUCGAGUCCUGGCGAGGGCA
This 73-nucleotide transfer RNA is filed under the name Stegodyphus mimosarum. It matches the Rfam family "tRNA". From Rfam's summary of the family: Transfer RNA (tRNA) molecules are approximately 80 nucleotides in length. Their secondary structure includes four short double-helical elements and three loops (D, anti-codon, and T loops). Lineage: Eukaryota; Metazoa; Arthropoda; Arachnida; Araneae; Eresidae. The record is from Rfam by way of RNAcentral.